This 144-nucleotide small nucleolar RNA is filed under the name Arabidopsis thaliana (thale cress). RNAcentral's name for it is "ncRNA (AT2G09705)". It matches the Rfam family "small nucleolar RNA snoR135". RNAcentral also lists the same sequence under 2 other names. The record is from Rfam by way of RNAcentral. Lineage: Eukaryota; Viridiplantae; Streptophyta; Magnoliopsida; Brassicales; Brassicaceae.
AAAGCAGAGAUAUGUGUGUAUCGGCUUAGUGCGUUCAAAUGCACUUUUCACGAAAGAUUUCUUUGCAAUAUCCAAUUUGGGGCAGAUGGGCAGUUGUGAUUCAUCGUUCUAUUGAAUAGCUCAACAAUCAUCUUCCCCACAGCU